GACGAACGCGGCGGCGUGCCUAAUACAUGCAAGUAGAACGCUGAAGGAGGAGCUUGCUUCUCUGGAUGAGUUGCGAACGGGUGAGUAACGCGUAGGUAACCUGCCUGGUAGCGGGGGAUAACUAUUGGAAACGAUAGCUAAUACCGCAUAAUAGCAGUUAUUGCAUGAUAACUGUUUAAAAGGUGCAAUUGCACCACUACCAGAUGGACCUGCGUUGUAUUAGCUAGUUGGUGGGGUAACGGCUCACCAAGGCGACGAUACAUAGCCGACCUGAGAGGGUGAUCGGCCACACUGGGACUGAGACACGGCCCAGACUCCUACGGGAGGCAGCAGUAGGGAAUCUUCGGCAAUGGACGAAAGUCUGACCGAGCAACGCCGCGUGAGUGAAGAAGGUUUUCGGAUCGUAAAGCUCUGUUGUAAGAGAAGAACGAGUGUGAGAGUGGAAAGUUCACACUGUGACGGUAUCUACCAGAAGGG
Molecule: ribosomal RNA, 477 nt
Filed under: Streptococcus mitis
Lineage: Bacteria; Bacillati; Bacillota; Bacilli; Lactobacillales; Streptococcaceae
Description: bacterial SSU rRNA
Rfam family: Bacterial small subunit ribosomal RNA
Source: RNAcentral